This 1420-nucleotide long non-coding RNA is filed under the name Trifolium pratense (red clover). RNAcentral describes it as "long non-coding RNA (TPRA_LNC005445)". The record is from RNAcentral. Lineage: Eukaryota; Viridiplantae; Streptophyta; Magnoliopsida; Fabales; Fabaceae.
CUUUUCAAGGCUCUCUUGGGACAAAAAUGCAACUAUUCAUAUUAUAAGCACUUGGUAUAUAUAUGCAUGCAAAUGAAAGAAACGACACAUACAUAUCCAAGGCGUAAGAUUUGUGCUUGUUUGUCAUUAUUCCAAUAAGGAAUGCCUGAAAAUGAUAAGAAAUAGUAAAAAAUUAAUUAACAAGUUGUUUUGUAAGUAUGAAGGCACUGCGCAAUGCAAUUGAAUUGUAAGAAAUUGAUACAUACCAUAUGAUGAGUCUUCUAAUUUGCGUAUGAAUGCCAAUUGAGAGAGAGCACCUGUAAUGUAAUAUAAUUUCUUAGUAUACCAAAACAACAGUAGAAGGAAAAGUAUAAAGAGACAUACAUAUACAUACUCUUACUAACUUCUCAUAAUUAUCAAACAUUUCCCUCUGACCACUACUUCCUUAAUAUGAGUGAUUGACAACCACAGGGGGAAUUGGGGGAAUAUCCUCACCAUGGUUCGUCCAAUGAUAAUAAUCAAUCAUGAAUCCCUUCCUAUAUAGAUGUGUCUUCACUGUUAUUGGACUUUCAAAUUUCAGACAUUUGCAUNNNNNAAUAUCCCCUCUUCCGAUGUUAUUUACAUCUUGUUCCAAAGCAAACUUAAUAAACUCAUCAACUCCGAUUUCAAAUUCUUCGGUGAUAUUCUUGUGUGAAUCAACUCUAUUAUUGAUCCACUUUCUAUUUUUAGGUACUUCCAUCACUGAUGCACUAUUUAUUUACACAAUAAAGAAAUAAAGAAAAUAACUCUAGAAAAACAAGCUAACAUAAAAAGUCUAGAAAAUCACAGCAACAAGAAAAUAAAACAAAUGGAAUAAAGCACUGCAUCAUGAAAUUUCUACAAGCUAACAUAAUCCAUCAUUAAUGCAAGAACUUAUCCUUUUCCAAGUUUUGGAGUAACAAAAGCAAUAAACAAAAGAGCCUAUAGAUAAAGAGUAUAAGCAUGUAGCAGGAUAAUUUUACUCUUCUACAUUCAACAACAAAUUAACAACCUGCAGGUCAUGUUUUCUAGUACUCCUAUCCUACUACUUCAUAUCAGAGACAGAGAGGUUCACAUGCUAAAUCUUAGCUGAAGAAGAAUUCAAAUCAUAUCGCACAUUCUCUCUGCAACAAAAAAUAUUUUAAAUAUUCGUCUGAUAUUUUCACAAUAAUAUCAUAAUACUGUUACUUCUUUUUAAAUACCUCACUGCAUNNNNNNNGAUACCACUACACAUUUUAAUCAAAUGGUAUAUAAUAAUAUGGCAGUAACAGAGAACAAUAUUAAAUGAUAUACAAAUUGGGGGGAAAUAUUUUCUCUAGAAAAAUGUAGCACAAAGUUUCUCAUCAUCUAGAUUAACUGUAUCUUCCGUAUGCGACAUAGUCCAUUGACAUCGUGUUUCAAUUACAUAUACACAUUUACUGGU